Salvia miltiorrhiza (redroot sage) is the source of this 986-nucleotide long non-coding RNA. RefSeq lists it as uncharacterized. Lineage: Eukaryota; Viridiplantae; Streptophyta; Magnoliopsida; Lamiales; Lamiaceae. The record is from RefSeq and is a predicted model, not a curated record. The transcript has 2 exons.
AACUCUCGCCGUCAAAGUCAUUCCCUAUCAUCCUCAAAAGUCAAGACCUACAUUUUAGAGUGAAACCUUCUCUGCACAGCCACAAUCCAAUAUCCACUUCUCUGCAUAUAACCAAACCGAGGCCAUUAUAGCCUCACAAUUUCAACUCUCCUUCUCAAACAAGAAAAAGAAUAAGUGCAGAGCCCCUCUUCCAUUGCUUCGAUCAGAGGUUUACUAGCAGCAAAUCCAGCAACUACACCUUUCAAUUUCAGCAAAACAAAUCAAAGGUUUCAUAUAUGAAUUUCCUCCGUUCAUUUACACUUGCUCACAGUUAGAACACUUCAAUUGCAGUACCACAAACAUUUUCAGACUUCAAAUUCAUGAUAAGCAAUACACAAACCAUUUCAUCCAUAUAGGUAUACAUAUCGAUUAUGCUUAUAUGAAAUCACUCAGAAUUUAUAUAUGUACAUACGCAUAUUUUACAAGAGAUUGAAUGAGUUUAAAAACCUACUAGAAUAAGAGAAAGAAGAAAGAUGGAGUCUUGAGUUUUGAUUUUGUUUGUCAAGCCUGAGUGUUUUGGGGCCUCUGAGUGGGGAGUUGGUCCGGUGGUGAUGGCAAAGGGAGAUGAGGCGUCGACGGCGCUGCUGUCCGUCCGGUGGUGGUGGUGGUCUGCCACUGACCGAAGAGAGAGAGAGAUUUCGAGGGAGGUCAGUGGCGGAGGUUGGCUUUCUCAGCUAAUGCGUCCGUCGGAUGAGGGAAGGAGGCGGCAUCACGUGGGUGGCGUCGUAGUCGGCGGGAGUCAGAGAGAGGGAGGCCAGGGCGCGGCGGCCCUGCCGCUGUCGCUCGGCCACAGACGGAGAGAGAGAUGGGGACGAGAGAAGGGAGAACCGAGGGUGUCAGUGGCUGUCGCCGCUUGCUCCGGCGAGCUCCGGCGGCGGUGGAUUUCGAUGGUGGAGGGGUGGAUUUUCUGGCAGAACUGAGGGAGAAGGGGGCGAGCAGAUUUUGAG